AGUGAACGCUGGCGGUAGGCAUAACACAUGCAAGUCGAACGGCAGCACAGUAAGAGCUUGCUCUUACGGGUGGCGAGUGGCGGACGGGUGAGGAAUACAUCGGAAUCUACUUUUUCGUGGGGGAUAACGUAGGGAAACUUACGCUAAUACCGCAUACGACCUACGGGUGAAAGCAGGGGAUCUUCGGACCUUGCGCGAUUGAAUGAGCCGAUGUCGGAUUAGCUAGUUGGCGGGGUAAAGGCCCACCAAGGCGACGAUCCGUAGCUGGUCUGAGAGGAUGAUCAGCCACACUGGAACUGAGACACGGUCCAGACUCCUACGGGAGGCAGCAGUGGGGAAUAUUGGACAAUGGGCGCAAGCCUGAUCCAGCCAUACCGCGUGGGUGAAGAAGGCCUUCGGGUUGUAAAGCCCUUUUGUUGGGAAAGAAAAGCAGCAGGUUAAUACCCCGCUGUUCUGACGGUACCCAAAGAAUAAGCACCGGCUAACUUCGU
This 491-nucleotide ribosomal RNA is filed under the name uncultured bacterium. Its description in RNAcentral is "partial 16S ribosomal RNA". It matches the Rfam family "Bacterial small subunit ribosomal RNA", at positions 29 to 506 of the family's 1533-position model. The record is from RNAcentral.